RNAcentral lists this transfer RNA (92 nucleotides) under Diaphorina citri (Asian citrus psyllid). It matches the Rfam family "tRNA". From Rfam's summary of the family: Transfer RNA (tRNA) molecules are approximately 80 nucleotides in length. Their secondary structure includes four short double-helical elements and three loops (D, anti-codon, and T loops). The record is from Rfam by way of RNAcentral. Lineage: Eukaryota; Metazoa; Arthropoda; Insecta; Hemiptera; Psyllidae.
GCACCGAUAGCUCGGUCGUUAGAGCAUGACUCGUAUACCUGUUCUUACGUCGCGGCGACCCGGUGCCGCGGGUUCGAUUCCCGCCCGGGGCG